GUGCUAUUUCAGCAUCACAAGUACUAAAAUUGGUAUGAUGCAAAGAAAACUAGUUCAGCCCCUGUGCAAAGGUGGCACACAAAUUCACGAAGUGUUCCAUAUUUUU
Sciurus carolinensis (gray squirrel) is the source of this 106-nucleotide small nuclear RNA. NCBI's taxonomy places the organism in Eukaryota, Metazoa, Chordata, Mammalia, Rodentia, Sciuridae. The record is from RefSeq and is a predicted model, not a curated record.